Molecule: ribosomal RNA, 477 nt
Filed under: uncultured bacterium
Lineage: Bacteria
Description: bacterial SSU rRNA
Rfam family: Bacterial small subunit ribosomal RNA
Source: RNAcentral
GAUAAACGCUGGCGGUAUGCCUAAUACAUGCAAGUCGAACGAGAGUAGCAAUACUCUAGUGGCGAACGGGUGAGUAACACGUAGGUAACCUGCCCUAAAGACGAGGAUAACACCGGGAAACUGGAGCUAAAACUGGAUAGGACAAUUUGAGGCAUCUUGGAUUGUUUAAAGGACCAGCAAUGGUACACUUUAUGAGGGGUCUGCGGCGCAUUAGUUAGUUGGUGGGGUAACGGCCUACCAAGACGAUGAUGCGUAGCCGGACUGAGAGGUCAACCGGCCACAUUGGGACUGAGAACGGCCCAAACUCCUACGGGAGGCAGCAGUAGGGAAUUUUCGGCAAUGGGGGGAACCCUGACCGAGCAACGCCGCGUGAAUGACGAAGUUCUUCGGAAUGUAAAGUUCUUUUAUUAGUGAAGAAUGGCUUAUGGAAAAAUAAGAAUGACGGUAACUAAUGAAUAAGCCCCGGCUAACUAUGUG